This is a long non-coding RNA of Triticum aestivum (bread wheat), 1001 nucleotides long. RefSeq lists it as uncharacterized. The record is from RefSeq and is a predicted model, not a curated record. The transcript is spliced from 2 exons. NCBI's taxonomy places the organism in Eukaryota, Viridiplantae, Streptophyta, Magnoliopsida, Poales, Poaceae.
GUUCUGGAAGAAUAAGCUUGUGGCUGUUUACAGCAGUCAAGUAUCUAUAUACUCCCUUCAUCUGAAGAUACUUAUCAUUAAAAUGGAUAAAAAUGACGUUCUAAAACUAAAAUACGUCUAAAUACAUCUAGAACUAAAAUAUGUACUAUCAGCUGUUGGAUCUUCGUGCUCGGACUCCGUUACCUGACUGGCGGUGUGAGGCUUUGAGCCUCCGGCGGCUCCCCCGCCGUCCGCCGCCUCGAACGCCGCUUGCCUUCUCCCCGGCCGGCAUCGAACGCCUCCAGCAGUUCCCUCCCUCGCCGCCUCAACGCGCGGCCGACACCUCCCGAGCCCGUGCGCCGCGGUCACAACGCCACCACUGGGCCGCCGCGGGAGCCUCGCCUAGGGUUUCUCCUUCCUGAUGCGCGGCCGCGGCUAGCUGGAUUCGCUCUCCCCCAAGGCCUCCUCCGCCUCGGGCCUCGGAGAGUCAAACCCCAGCAGCCAUUUCCUUGGCAGGCAAGCCCUCGCUUCGGCGGCGUGGAAGACGAGUGAGCCCUGUAUGCCGUGUUCUUCUGAACACCUCUUUGCAGCCUGAUGGAGGAAACUCCGUGAAGCGGCGGAGGAGCGGAGCCGCCUAAGUGCAGCUGCCCCGAAUCGAGGUCUACUUUGACACCCUUGCCUCUUCUAGGUUGUUUUGCAGCUAUACAGAGUUCAGUUCAACAUGGUCUCAACCAAACAUUCAGCAUCUGUUUGCUCUUCCCGUCUUGCAUCAAGCUACGUGGAGGGGGCUGUUGUUGCACAUCACAUGUUUGUUCUAAUGCCCUGCCCAUGUUCUUGGUCAAAACCAACAUUAGCCCCUUGUGUCAUUCCCGCGACCAGUUUGUUUCUUUCCAUCGGUCAAGAGAUCAAUGGGAGAUUCACUCCCUCUGCUGUUGUUGUUGCUGCACAUCACGUGUUUGUUUUAGUACCCUGCCCUUGUUCUUGGUAAAAAUUAAGGAUAUCUAGUUGCUUAACAAAGUCUA